GGCUGGAGGUGCCAUGCACUUGGGAAAUGCACAAAGCAAAGGGAUUCCUGCGGAAGAAGGAAUGUGCACAACAGUCCAACUAACCCAGGUGUAUCCUGUAACACAGUUAGCAAGAGCACAUUGUCUUGGUCUUUCACUGACCUGGAGCCAUGCCUCUGGAUCUGGACUUCUCCCCCUACCUUUAAAGAAGCCAUAGAGAAUGUCAGUGUGGGGCUGAUACUGGUAAGUUGUGACAUCGUCAGAAACUCCUACACAGGCAGCGGGUAAACAAACUCCUAGCCCCUUACCCUGCACCUCAUUCAAAGCGGAUUUGUGUUUCUUCUGAGACGGGUAGGGACCUAAGAGCAGGUUUUGCUAACAUCUGUAACUUCACUUGGACCUACAGACGCCCAGUAGAUAACUAACGGGCAACCAAAGCUUGAACUCCGUUUUUGUAUCCUUUGCUGCCGUAACUCUGAAUAUGCGUGUGCUCACCAUUUAGGAACGGUCAGCGAGGUUCAGUAGCCCUAGUGCACCGAGCCUGUCGCAUCCGCCUUGGAGACUCGGGGCGCUAAGACGAGAGUAACUGAAGUGAUUUCCAGGUUCCCUGGAAUAUCCGAUUACUGGCUUUUUACAACAUCCCCUUUCAGACCUCCUCCUGGAGCAAAACUAGAAGUGUCCAUCGCGUGUCCUAAACCUACGGUCAUCUGGGACCCAGGAAACCAGAGCCUCAGGAGCACAACUGCGUUUGCCGCUGACAAUGACGGGCCAUGUCAUGGGCGAGAAAUUGCCCCUCAGUCCAUAAAAUAUCCUGGAGAGCUCCAAAGCAGGAUGGAGAUAACGGUCAGCCAGAACCCAGGGCCCCACCACAGCCCAUGAAACUGGUCCCCACUGAUUUGUACCAGGCCAGUCUGUCCCUCUCUUCGGAGUAGGCUCCCUCCAGCAGUCCAGGCUGCAGUGGCCCCUUUCUUGUUUCUUCUUCAUCUGCUUCAUCAUGGUCUGGCUCAGUCUCCUUCAGCUCCUCAGACUAAGGCCCCUUUCCAUUCUCUCUCCUUUUCAAAUUGAAGUUUUUUCCUGCAAAUGCAUGCUCUUUAGGUUUAAUUUUUAUUAUCACUAAAGCAAAGACACAUUCGCUGAUGACAAUAUUUCCUCCCUUCCUUCGUUCUUUCCUUCUCCCUCUUCCCUCCCUUCUUCUUUCUCCCUUCAGUAAGUAGCAUAGCAUUAUCCAAAAGAAACGAUAGGUGCGCUGUCUCUUCUCAGAGGAGGUGAGACAAGCCUCUACAAGCCCAAGGAAUAUCAAAUUAAUUUGUGUAUAAAAAAUCUAAAGAAAAAAAUGUACACUAGUUAAGACCUGACUUCCACUGUAUUAUAAAAAUAACUUAAAUAAGAUAUUGUGUUUUACUACGAAAUUCUUUUUAGUGAAAGUGUUGUCUAAGAAUUAGCCCUUGAUAAGAAACUAAAUUUUACACUUCAAACAUGGCUGUAAAAAUUCAGUGCAUUUUUCUUAUGAUCAUAGAACAAUGCCUUCAUAGACCUCACAUGAAAGAAGUGUUGUUCACAGUAAAAGAAUCUGUAGACAUAAGAUCAUGAAUACCUUAUAAGAAUUACUUUAUAUAGAGUUAUGACGUAAGUGCCUUUAGAAACCUAAACAAACAUAAUUUAAAUAUAAAAGUAUAAGAGAUGGUAACCGUGGGAUACCAACUCUCACCUGAGUGGCUGUGUUCCAAAGUGAGGGAUGAACGUAAAAGUUGAGGUAACAGUGAGCUGGGUAACUAUAUUUUAUUAUGUAUAUUAAUUGAUUUGUUGCAAAACCUCAGGACAUAUUAGAAAGGAAAACACACAUGCUACCCUAGUACCACAGCAACUUCUACUCCCCGUCUGUGCCUGCUGAGAAUCCUAAGGACGUCCCAGGGGAGGGAGAAACAAGCAAAGAUUCAGAAAUGGGGACAGGACCGACAAACGUAGGUAAGGGCGGAGCUCCAUCAGGGAAGACCAAGGGCAGGAAAGAUAACAGAAAAAUGGGGCUGGGGGUUUAGCUCAGCGGCACAGCGCCUUCCUGGCAAGUGAGAGGUCUCAAGUUCGAUUCCCAGUACUGGAAAAAAACAAAAACAAACAAACAAAAAAAAUAACAGAAAAACAAGAGACAGAAAAUAGGAACUACAGUUUAGAAUUAUUACUCUAAAUAUCCUUAUGUUUGCCUACUACUUUUAUUUUACAGAACAGUUGUUUUGGUUCAGAUGAUUGCUACAGAUCCUCACGUUAAAACACUACAAUAGACAGGAAGUAUUUCUAGGGUGAGCAGGAAUGAUGACACCAGGUUAAUGCAUGUGUGCUUUCACUUCAAACCAGAAACAAGCAGCAACAGGAUAUAUAGGAUCAAAGGUACAAACCAGUGAAUGGACAUAAUUACUUUCCGCCAUAAUUACAAUUUUUGUCCCAUGUCUUGCCGUGGACAGGUCUAAGGCAUGCCUGACUAACCCUGCCAUAGGACUAUUCAAAUUAUGUCUACUCUUCACCCAAGUAGCAGUAAAUUAUCUACCUGUUUCAUAGAUGAUAUGUUUUUGACCAACGUUACUUAAGUAUAAUUUUCACAUAUGAAAUAUUUUACCAUUUACUUCACUGAGUUGAGAUGAAUGUGUAUGCCGUAUAACCACCAUUUUGCAGUUGAUGUAAAUACCUGUAUGCUUUUCUUUCUAACUGUAACAUUCUUAGCUUUGUUCUCUGGUAAUCAUUAAUAAGCAUCCUGGCACUUAGGGGUUAUGUUUUCUAAAGUUUCAUAUAAAUGGAAUGAUAUAAUAUACACUUUAUUCAAUAUGAUUCCUUCUAUUCAGCAUAUCUUUGAGAUUCAUCUUUGGUUUUGUCUGCACUGGGACAUUGUUCUGUUGUACCAAUAAAUAAAACUCCAUGUUAUGAGUGAAU
This is a long non-coding RNA of Chinchilla lanigera (long-tailed chinchilla), 2898 nucleotides long. NCBI's taxonomy places the organism in Eukaryota, Metazoa, Chordata, Mammalia, Rodentia, Chinchillidae. The record is from Ensembl.